This 2073-nucleotide ribosomal RNA is filed under the name Pteronarcella badia. Its description in RNAcentral is "SSU rRNA". It matches the Rfam family "Eukaryotic small subunit ribosomal RNA". Lineage: Eukaryota; Metazoa; Arthropoda; Insecta; Plecoptera; Pteronarcyidae. The record is from RNAcentral.
GUCAUAUGCUUGUCUCAAAGAUUAAGCCAUGCAUGUCUAAGUGCAAGCCAAAUUAAGGUGAAACCGCGAAUGGCUCAUUAAAUCAGUUAUGGUUCCUUAGAUAAUACACCAAGUUACUUGGAUAACUGUGGUAAUUCUAGAGCUAAUACAUGCAAACAGAGUUCCGACUCGAGAGGGGAGGAACGCUUUUAUUAGAUCAAAACCAAUCGGUCGCCGGCUUCCUCCGGGUUGUCGCGCGGUCCGCAUUCGUAUUUGGUGACUCUGAAUAACCACUGAGCAGAUCGCACGGUCUCGUACCGGCGACGCAUCUUUCAAAUGUCUGCCUUAUCAACUGUCGAUGGUAGGCUCUGCGCCUACCAUGGUUGUAACGGGUAACGGGGAAUCAGGGUUCGAUUCCGGAGAGGGAGCCUGAGAAACGGCUACCACAUCCAAGGAAGGCAGCAGGCGCGCAAAUUACCCACUCCCGGCACGGGGAGGUAGUGACGAAAAAUAACGAUACGGGACUCAUCCGAGGCCCCGUAAUCGGAAUGAGCACAACUUAAAUACUUUAACGAGUAUCCAUUGGAGGGCAAGUCUGGUGCCAGCAGCCGCGGUAAUUCCAGCUCCAAUAGCGUAUAUUAAAGUUGUUGCGGUUAAAAAGCUCGUAGUUGGACUUGUGUCCCACGCCGUCAGUUCGUGGCCCGUCUACGUAACUGCACGGUUAUGUGAGUGGGACGUCCAGCCGGUGGGACGUCUGGUCGCGUCGCUGGCCGCGCCCCUUGGCGGUCCACCCGACGUGCGCGGGUCCCGCGUGUCUCCGUGCUCCCGGCGUGUUCCCGCGGCGACGCAAGUCGCCCGGGCUGCCGCGGGGUGCGCGAGUUCGCGCGAAGGCACGCGCCGUAGGAGCCGUCCUCGCAGGGUGUUCGCUGUGUCGGCUCGCGGUGCCGGUCCCAUGUUACUCGUCUCGGUGCUCUUAAUCGAGUGUCUUGACGGGCCGGCUCGUUUACUUUGAACAAAUUAGAGUGCUUAAAGCAGGCUAAUAUACGCCUGAAUAUUGUGUGCAUGGAAUAAUGGAAUAGGAUCUCGGUUCUAUUUUGUUGGUUUUCUGAACCAGAGAUAAUGAUUAAUAGAGACUGACGGGGGCAUUCGUAUUGCGACGUUAGAGGUGAAAUUCUUGGAUCGUCGCAAGACGAACCGAAGCGAAAGCAUUUGCCAAGAAUGCUCUCGUUAAUCAAGAACGAAAGUUAGAGGUUCGAAGGCGAUCAGAUACCGCCCUAGUUCUAACCAUAAACGAUGCCAACUAGCGAUCCGCCGGUGUUCCUCCGAUGACCCGGCGGGCAGCUUCCGGGAAACCAAAGUGUUUGGGUUCCGGGGGAAGUAUGGUUGCAAAGCUGAAACUUAAAGGAAUUGACGGAAGGGCACCACCAGGAGUGGAGCCUGCGGCUUAAUUUGACUCAACACGGGAAACCUCACCAGGCCCGGACACUGGAAGGAUUGACAGAUUGAUAGCUCUUUCUUGAUUCAGUGGGUGGUGGUGCAUGGCCGUUCUUAGUUGGUGGAGCGAUUUGUCUGGUUAAUUCCGAUAACGAACGAGACUCUGGCCUGCUAACUAGUCGCACAUUGACGACAUCCGCAUUCGUGCUGUCGGCGACAAAUAUAAACUCUUCUUAGAGGGACAGGCGGCUUCUAGCCGCACGAGAUUGAGCAAUAACAGGUCUGUGAUGCCCUUAGAUGUUCUGGGCCGCACGCGCGCUACACUGAAGGAAUCAACGUGUGUUUUCCCUUGACCGAGAGGUCCGGGUAACCCGCUGAAACUCCUUCGUGCUAGGGAUCGGGGCUUGCAAUUCUUCCCCGUGAACGAGGAAUUCCCAGUAAGCGCGAGUCAUAAGCUCGCGUUGAUUACGUCCCUGCCCUUUGUACACACCGCCCGUCGCUACUACCGAUUGAAUGAUUUAGUGAGGUCUUCGGACCGUCGCGCGGCGGCGCUCGCAAGAGCCCGUCGAUGUUCGACGGAAAGAUGAUCAAACUUGAUUAUUUAGAGGAAGUAAAAGUCGUAACAAGGUUUCCGUAGGUGAACCUGCGGAAGGAUCAUAU